This 243-nucleotide ribosomal RNA is filed under the name uncultured Sphingobacteriales bacterium. Its description in RNAcentral is "partial 16S ribosomal RNA". It matches the Rfam family "Bacterial small subunit ribosomal RNA", at positions 1140 to 1382 of the family's 1533-position model. The record is from RNAcentral. Lineage: Bacteria; Pseudomonadati; Bacteroidota; Sphingobacteriia; Sphingobacteriales.
CUAGCGAAACUGCCGGUGUAAACCGAGAGGAAGGUGGGAUGACGUCAAUCAGCACGGCCCUUAUGUCCAGGGCUACACACGUGUUACAAUGGCCGGUACAGAGGGCAGCUACCUGUUGACAGGAUGCGAAUCUCGAAAGCCGGUCUCAGUUCGGAUCGGAGUCUGCAACCCGACUCCGUGAAGCUGGAUUCGCUAGUAAUCGCGCAUCAGCCAUGGCGCGGUGAAUAACGUUCCCGGGCCGUU